RNAcentral lists this ribosomal RNA (522 nucleotides) under uncultured bacterium. RNAcentral's name for it is "bacterial SSU rRNA". It matches the Rfam family "Bacterial small subunit ribosomal RNA", at positions 8 to 518 of the family's 1533-position model. The record is from RNAcentral.
AGAGUUGAUCCUGGCUCAGGAUGAACGCUGGCGGCGUGCCUAACACAUGCAAGUCGAACGGAGUUGUUCCACCCGACAGAAUAUCUUCGGAUAUGAAGUCAUCGGAAACGCUUAGUGGCGGACGGGUGAGUAACGCGUGGACAACCUGCCCUGCACAGGGGGAUAGCGGUUGGAAACGACCGGUAAUACCGCAUACCUUACAUUUGCCGCAUGACAGAUGUAAGAAAACGAUUUAGUGGUGCAGGAUGGGCCCGCGUCCGAUUAGCUAGUUGGUGGGGUAACGGCCUACCAAGGCGACGAUCGGUAGCCGACCUGAGAGGGCGGACGGCCACAUUGGGACUGAGACACGGCCCAGACUCCUACGGGAGGCAGCAGUGGGGAAUAUUGCACAAUGGGGGAAACCCUGAUGCAAGCGACGCCGCGUGAGUGAAGAAGUAUUUCGGUAUGUAAAGCUCUAUCAGCAGGGAAGAUAAUGACGGUACCUGACUAAGAAGCCCCGGCUAAAUACGUGCCAGCAGCCGC